Molecule: long non-coding RNA, 7055 nt
Organism: Orcinus orca (killer whale)
Lineage: Eukaryota; Metazoa; Chordata; Mammalia; Artiodactyla; Delphinidae
Exons: 2
Source: RefSeq, a predicted model, not a curated record
AAAAGCCCUAGCCACAGAAAGGGCGGCUCCCUCAGGCAGGCGCUGCAGGUGGAUCCAAGUUCCCUAAGCGCGGAGACCUCACUGCGGCUCCACCCCGCUCCUCUCCUGUAGCUUCAGGACCUGGAGAGCUUGAACACACCACUUGGUCGGAAAGCCUUGCACACGGUCUGUCCUUGCUGCACCAACGGGGCCAGCAGCACCCCCUGCGCUUGCCAAGGCUGAGGUGAGGAAAAAACACCCCCAAGACCCUGGACGGGGCCCAGCUCUCAGCAGCGGCAGUGGCUCCAGGCCCGUCACUUCGUUGCUGGGUCUCCUUUUCCACAGGGAGUUGUGGUGAGGCUGAGAUGAGAACACGUGUGAAGUGUCGUGUAAACUGGUGGAUAACAAUAACCCGUCCGUCCGCCUUCUUCCUGCCUGUCCUACCUGGUGCCUUGUCAAGUUAUUGGGAGGGGGCUAGCCAGGGGUAGGAGACGCAUCUAGGGUGCUCAUCCAGUUCAUGAUGCCUCUUGUUUCUCUGGAGAGUAUGUCCCUCCAUGUCCUGGCUGUGUGACCUUCAGCAAGUGACUCAACUUCUCUGUGCCUCAAUCAGACAUUGGCUAAAUGGGGGUAAUAUUAUUAAUACCUAGCUCACGGGGUUGUCAUGAGGAUUAAACAACGCAUGUAAAGUACUCCAUUCUGUAAGUGCACAUAGUAAGCGAUCAACAGGAGUCAGCUCUGGGUAUGCCCCACCCCUGGGGGAAAAGAAGCAGAGGCCAGCAAAGGGGCAUGGCUGAUUCUUGUUGGCGUUCCAGUGCCGGGACACUGUUCUGUACCUCCAUCUUUAGGUUCCCGCUGCUUUCUCAUCCUCUUUCCAGUGAAUCACCUUUUUUGGGUAAAAGUUAGGAUCUCUGUUACUCCCGACUGAACCUUAACACUGGAAUGUAAAAGAAACAACAAACAUCAUUUUCCUAAACUAAAUUAAUCUUACCUCAAGCUUGUAUCUCCCUGAGGGGGAUCAUCCACUUUUUAUUUCUGGAGAACCCCUCCCCCCAAUUCCAUGGGCUCAUCAGGAGUCCCGAGGAUUUCAGGGGAAUAGGAACACGAGAAGGGGCCUGGGCCACAGUCCCGGGUGGUCAUCGCUGCCUCUCCUGUUCCUGAGCACUGCGUCCACCUCCAGAGGCUCCGAGACGUCCCCCACGGGGUCUUCCUGGAUGGCCACGGGCACGCACAGGGAGCUCUGUGGACUUGUGAAGGGCACCUGCCAUGUCGCCUGGGCAGUCUGACCUUCCCACUGGAGGAGUCCAAGGCCUAGGCUCUGUCGCUGCCAGGCCUUGGGCAACCCAAGUGGAUGUUCUCGGGCCUCAGCAGCCCCUGAAGCAGCAGCAGUCAGUCGGCCUUCUGUCCCCAUCUCUCCUUUUCUCUGAGGGCCCGGCUCAGGAGCGUGAGGCCUGUCUGUCUUUCCAGAUUGAGGAAGUGAACCUUCCUCCCGUUUCAUUCCUCAUGCGCAGACAGUUUAUUUCACAGCCGUCCUGCACACUUGCGUGAACAAAGAACAAAGAACGUGGCUCACCACCCAGUUCUGCAAGGGUUAAGUCUUAACCCACUGCAGUCCCACCAACAGUGCACCCUGAGAGGAAUUCAGGAUAAGAAACAGGAUGAGACACCCUGUGCUUUGGAUAAAUGGGCCCCUAGAUAGUUAGAUGUAUAUCUCAGGAAGAAUUUCCACGACCCUAUAUUUUUGCAUCUUCCCAUACAUAAGAAAGCACUAAAAUCGUUAACUUGAGAUAUCUGUUCUUUGUGACUAGCAGUCAUCUUUUACCAAGAUGUAUGCUUGAUUGCAAGUAUUUCCCAGCCAAAAAUCAUAUAUAAACUGGCUUUUCCCCUCUUUCUUCAGAGCAGUUUCCUCUGAGCUGCUGAGUGGCGUCUCUGGGCUAUAGUCCUCAGCAGGACCCUGAAUAAAACUUAAACUCACAACUCUCACGCUGUGUGUCUUUCUUUGAGUCAACAGAUGUCUCAAAGGAGGCCACAGGGUUCAGGGGAAAUGAUGCUGAAGUCUUGGCAGGCGGAUUCUUAACCACUGCGCCCCCAGGGAAGUCCCCCACUGUGUGUCUUUGCAUGUGACGAUUCCUCAUCCUGGGUGCCUGGGCUCCACCCGAGAAUCUCCCACCUGUCCCUCUAGAUUCAGCAUGACCCCUCCCAGGGCCUUUCUGUGCACACCCACCCCCAGCUGCUCACCUUUCUGGCUUCAUUUAGCCUGACCUCUGACAACACCGGCCCUUCCCUCGUCUUCCUUUGGAUUACAUCUUGCCCUGUUUUCUCGGUUUUCUCCUGCUUCCCCGGCUGCCCCUCCUCCGUCUCCUUCAGCUCUGCCCGUCUCAUCACUGGUGUUCCUCGCUGCCCCUCUCCAGCCCUCCCCACUCUCUCGCCCUGGGGGAUCUCCUCCCCAUGGCCUCCUGGAUACUGACGCUCCCAGAUCUGCGCCUCCAGCUGGAUCUCUGCGGAGCACAAGGCUCUGGACUCCGGCCGACUCCACACCCAAAAGUCACAUCAGCUGAGCGUGUCCACGCCUCAGCUCAUCGUCCCUCUUCCCGCAUCCCUCUCUGUAACACAGCAUCUCAGGUGCACGUGGCUUUGGAGCAUCCUUCCAGUUCACAAUAACCCCCUUAAUCACAGCCACCUGUCCACCUCCAGCCAUGUUACCCCCUCCCCUCCCUUGGUGCUGGGUCACUUCCUGUGGUUCAGCAGGACACCUCCACCCAGCUGAGCGCGAACCAGCUGGCCAUUCAGUCUCUUCCCUGGGAAUUUGGAACCAGGUGGUGCUGGUGUUUCUUCGGGUGAAUUGGCCUAUUCUCUGUGGGUGGGAGCUAUGGGAGAGGCAUUUUCCACCACCCUGGGGCCUGGAGAAGCAGCGGGAGUCAGUCUGAGGAGAGAUGUGCAGGCAAGAUCAAAGGUGAGAAGGCUGAGGCUGAGGCCGAGGCCGGAACGUGAGGUGGCAGGGCAGGGGUCAUGCGCCCAUUGUACAGAUGCUGAAGGAGAGUCCAGGGGAAGAACGAUGUGGUCCCCAGGUCAGUAAUCCAGGCUUUUCGGCCUUGACCCUCCUUCCCUCAAGUUCAUCCCGUGCCCCUGAGCUUUUGCUCUCUGCAAGCAGGAGGGUCCCCUGAAUCAUCUGAAAGCCCGUCAUGCUUUGGGUGGCUGGACCCCCCUGCAUCUCUGCAGCUUGCCCCUCUGCUGUUCCUGCCUCUUCCCCAGUGCACUCCUGACAAAGGGGUUGAGAGCAGGGAGGGCGGGACCGACCUGCUAAGUCUGGGCUGGUUUAGGGCCAGGUCAUUCUUUAUCUGGGUUUUCACAGAACAAAGCUGUGCUGUUCCUCCUGGCAGCAGGGGUCCUGGGGUGAGGAGGGGCGCGUACGCCUCCCGCUGGCUCUGGCUUUUGUGUUCUCUUCUAGCCUGGCCUGCGAGCCCAGCAGGCCCAAGAUGCUGCAACCCGGACCGGCACAGCCGGCAGCGACUGGGGAGGGCCGCAUAGUCCCAGCAGAGUAGCAGAAUGUUUGCCAGAAAACUCCAACAGGCCAUCUGCUUCCAGAGAGCAGAGCACACGGUCUUGAAAGAGGCAGCCAGCAGGAGCUGUGGAGCCACAGAGGGCUGUCCUAAGGGAGUUCCUUUUUUAAAGAGCAUGUCUGACAAGUUGGGACAAAGCAAUGGGAGUUUGAAGAUUUCUGACAGGCACGGUUCCUAGAAACUUUUAAAAAAUUUUAAAAUAAAUGUUCCAGGAGGACUUCCCUGGGGGCGCAGUGGUUAGGAAUCCACCUGCCAAUGCAGGGGACUUGGGUUUGAGCCCUGGUCCGGGAAGAUCCCACAUGCCAAGGAGCAACUAAGCCUGUGUGCCACAACUACUGAGCCUGCGUUCUAGAGCCCACAAGCCACAACUACUGAAGCCCACGAGCCACAACUACUGAAGCCCACGCCCCUAGAGCCCGUGCUCCGCAACAAGAGAAGCCACCGUGAUGAGAAGCCCGCGCACCAUAACAAAGAGUAGCCCCCGCUUGCUGCAACUAGAGAAAACCCGUGCAGAGCAACAAAGACCCAACGCAGCCAAAUAAAUAAAAUUAAAAAAAGAAAAAGAAAAGGUUCCAGGAGAUACGGUUCUGCCCUAACAAAAGAGUCUCUCAGGUGCGGGUCUCCAAAAGGUCACCAGGUUACAUUACUCAGCGCUGGGUGAGGAAGUAACUGAAUGGCAGGGGACUGGCUGCAAAGGGCCACCACUCCAGGAAGGGAGACUUUUCUUUCUCCACACUUGCUAUUCAGAGGGCAUCUUAUUAUACCACCACCGCAUCUGUCCUUGUGAAGAAAGGACAACAAGCUGCCUCACGCACCAGGGCAGUGUGUUCAGUCUUUCACUCCCUUAGCAUUUGGGGAGCACCUGCUCUGCCUUGUUCUAGGGCUGGGAAAACAGACAAACUCCCUGCCCUGCAGGAACGAUUCUACCUUGGAAAAACUGAUGAAUGGAGUGACACGGGCGGAAAGGGCUCUGGAGAAAAGGAAAGGAAGUAUGGGGUGGUGGGGAGCUGUCAUUUUCAACGGAGUGGUCAAGAAAGACCUCACUGGGAAAGUAACAUUGGGGUAAGACCUGAAGAAGAGAGAGAGAGCACCCGGCAGUGCUGGAGGAUGUUCAGGCAGAGAAGGCAGCAUGUGCAAAGGCCCUGCGGUGGAAGCCAACAGCUAGGAAGCCAGGGUGGCUGGAGCUGAGUGGGCAGAGGGGGAAUGUCAGGGGAUGAGGCCAGUGAAGGGUGUGGGCGUGGGCUUCUGCACCACUGUGAAAGAAGGGAAGCCACCGGAAGGUUUGAAGCAGACACAUGACAUGUCCUCAAGUUUUAAGAAGAGAACAUCAAUUGGUGGCUGUGUGGAAAGCAGCCUUCAGGGCAAGGGCAAAUACAAGGGAUCAGUUACAAGGCUGUUACAAUAAUUCAGGCAAGAGAUGGUGGCAGUGAGGGUAUGAGAAGUGGUCAGUUUCUGGAUAUGCAGCACUUUGGAGGUAAAGCUAACAGGAUUUCCUGACAGGUCAGAUAUUUCUAUUUUAACACAGAAUAGAAACAAAUAAAAGAGCCCUGGAUUCGAUUUCAACAAGCCUGGCUUAUAGUUCUGGCUCUGCCUCCUGCUAGCCAUGAGACGAGGAUAAGCAAAUCAGCCCCUUAGAUCCCAGCUCCCUUAUUUGUAAAAAGGAAGUGAGAAAUACCUGCCCCUUUACCCGACAGGUUUUGUUGAGAGGCUCAAAAGAGAAGCUGAGGGUGACCACUCACUGAAAGCUACAGAGUGCCAUGCUUCUGCCAAAUAAAAAAACCUGAUGAUUUGUUUUAAUGACAAUUAUAUUUCUCUCCAUCAGUGGAGUCUCUUACCUUGGGGAGGGGGUGCCAGAGGGAUCAGCUCCCUCUCUCUGCCUCCCCUCUGGGUGCUGGUGUGCUGGGGUCGGGGACCUUCCCCUUCCUAUAACCUACCAAAAGUGCCAUGGACAGCUCUUCAGUUUGUGCCCUGUCCAAGGGCUCCUGGGUGAGAUGCAGUGGGUGCUGAAAUCCAGACUGUGUGUGCCCCGCUUCAGACCUUGUACCCUGAUGGGCGGCUGCAUCUGCCCCAGGACUGUUCCUUGUUUUGUUUUAUUUUUUUUCUCUUAUUUGCACAAGACAGAGGACCAGGCAGCCCCAGCUGCCCCUAAUUCAGCAGCUGAGGCAGAGAAGGGAAGAUGCAGGUAGGGGAUGACGUGGUGAGCUCAUAUCUUCCCUGUUAGAGUAGUUUCUGUGGCCAGUCUUACAGGAGAAAACAUUCUCUGGGGAAAUCUUUUUUUUUUUUUUAAUAAAUUUAUUUAUUUAUUUUUGGCUGCGUUGGGUCUUUGUUGCUGCGCGCAGGCUUUCUCUAGUUGCGGCGAGCGGGGGCUACCCUUCGUUGCGGUGCGUGGGUUUCUCCUUGCAAUGGCUUUUCUUGUUGUGGAGCACGGACUCUAGGCGCGCGGGCUUCAGUAGUUGUGGCGCAUGGGCUUAGUUGCUCCGCGGCAUGUGGGAUCUUCCCGGCCCAGGACUCGAACCCGUGUCCCCUGCAGUGGCAGGUGGAUUCUUAACCACUGCGCCACCAGGGAAGCCCGGGAAGUCUUUUUAACUUGGAUUGACGUGGGUUGCACAAGGCAAAAUUGGGGCUCUGGAAUCAUUUGAAUGCUAGAGAAGGAAAGGAAAAAAAAGCAAAUUAGGGAUCCUGCCACCGGCCCCUUUCAAAGUGACGCCACUGUAGAGAAAAGAUGGAAACUCGAGAUUUAGGCAGAUGUGUUACACUGCGUCCCACCCGAUCGGGUGCUUAGGGUGCCGAGGGCCGGAUCCCACCUUGUCCUGACCCCCUGCUUUGACCGCUCACCUUCUGACCCUGAAAUGCAAGUGUGGCUCCCCUUUGGCGUGAUCUGUGCCCAGCCUCUGGCUUGGUUAGCAGCUGGCCGCUCUAGCAGGCAGGCCUGGUGUCCCAGCCUGGCCUCAGGCCAUGGUGAGAGGGCUGCACAUUUUCAAGGUCAUUAUCUCUCCUCCAGGUUCCCCAAACCAGGCGAGAAGCAACUUUGGUAGAAUGGGUUUGGUAAUGUAUUGUGUGUAGGGUGAGCCUCUGUUUUUCUCCGUCUUUCCUCUGCACGCUUCUCCUGGAAGGAGUACCCUAAUUACCCUCUGGAGUAGCACCUCUCCCCCACUCCUAGAUCAUGAACUUUGGGCCGGGGGUGGGGGGGUUAAAUCCAGCUUAGCAACAUGGCGGCCAUGGGACUUGCGAGCUUCUCACUGGGGAGGGGUAAAUGUCCCAGGCAGAGCAAUGACAUGAAAUGAGCCUUCCCAGAGGAUCUUUGGGUCAGACGUUCCCUACUGGACCUAACGACAGGAAGGAUGGCCUGAAUCUUGAGCUGCUGGGGCCUGACAAUGAAACCAACCUUCAGCAGAGGCGGAGCGAAGAGCUGCCUCUCUCCUGAUGGCAUCACGUAAGCCACUGGAUCAAGCUCUACUGGAAGUACCAGAUCUAUCCCUGCCCUUCCCCAAAAGGCACCAAUAAAGUAAUUUCCUUUUU